GGAUCAAGGUGCUGGUCAUGCCUUUGGUAUGUACUGACAUCAUUGAUUUCUCCCUUCUGGCGAACCAUGAUGUCAUUAAUUUGGUGUCAUGGGGAAUCAGGACUGUUACUUUGAAAAAAUUAGAGUGUUUAAAGCAGGCUAACGCUUGAAUAUAUUAGCAUGGAAUAAUAAAAUAGGACGUAACGAUCCUAUUUUGUUGGUUUCUAGGAUUGACGUA
This 217-nucleotide ribosomal RNA is filed under the name uncultured fungus. Its description in RNAcentral is "partial small subunit ribosomal RNA". It matches the Rfam family "Eukaryotic small subunit ribosomal RNA", at positions 662 to 864 of the family's 1831-position model. The record is from RNAcentral. Lineage: Eukaryota; Fungi.